Molecule: long non-coding RNA, 603 nt
Filed under: Mytilus galloprovincialis (Mediterranean mussel)
Lineage: Eukaryota; Metazoa; Mollusca; Bivalvia; Mytilida; Mytilidae
Source: RNAcentral
GUUUUGUUUGGGAUGUACAAGUACCCGGACACGUCCACGUGUAUUUUCAUGUAGUAUUUGUAUCUUUAAUCAUCUGUCGAGUUAAGACUUUCAACUGAUUUUUAUAGAUCGUUCUUAUGUUGUACUAUUACACCACUGUUACAUGUAAGGGAGUGGGUUGCGAUCACGCAAACAUGUUUGACCCCGCCACAUUCAGUAUGUAUGUGUCUCUCCCAAAUCAGGAGCCUGUAAUUCAGUGGCUGUCGUUUGUUUCUGUUCCAUAUUUGUUUUUCGUUCAUUUUUUGGUACAUAAAUUAGGCCGUUAUUUUUCUCGUUUAAAUUGUUUUACAUUAUCAUUUUGGGGUCUUUUAUAGCUGACUUUGCGGUAUGUUGACCUAUAGUUGUUAAUUUCUGUGCCAUUUUGGUCGUUUGUGAAGAGUUGAUGCAUUGGCAAUCAUACCAUUUCUUCUUUUUUUCUAUAUUUGCCUUGUGAACUAGCACGCUUAAUAAACUGACCCAGUGCGUCAUUGUAGUACAAAGUUUUGAAAAUUUUCAAAUCUCAUAUAUCAAUUUCCGUCAUAAGACGGCAUGCUGGACUCAUUCGUAUCUUGGACUGUUCGCAUU